AUUUUUCUUUAAUGCAUAAGAAAGGCACUCCAUAAACCCCAACCCAGUUGAGUGAAUCACCAACGUCAGCUACCGUUAAUCUAUCUUUCGUCUCUUCGAUUCUUCCAUUUCAUAUAAUCAAAACUUUCUCGGAAAAUUGCAUCAUCUGAAUCUCAAUUGAAUCGGUUUCUCAUGUCUUCUUCAAACCAACAACAGUUUCGGUACACUCAAACUCCUUCAAAGGUUCUUCACUUUCGUAACCUUCCAUGGGAGUGUACAGAUGAUGAACUCAUUGAUAUUUGUAGUCCGUUUGGUAAAGUUGUCAACACUAAGUGUAAUGUUGGCGCCAAUCGGAAUCAAGCUUUUGUUGAAUUCGCAGAUUUAAAUCAAGCAAUUUCAAUGGUUUCAUAUUAUGCUUCAUCUUCCGAGCCUGCUCAGGUUCGUGGCAAGACUGUUUACAUUCAAUAUUCUAAUAGACACGAAAUUGUCAACAACAAAGGCCCUGGAGAUAUCCCUGGAAAUGUCUUGCUGGUAACAAUUGAAGGGGUUGAAGCCGGAGAUGUGAGCAUUGAUGUUAUUCACUUGGUUUUUUCUGCUUUUGGUUUUGUCCACAAAAUUGCCACAUUUGAAAAGACUGCAGGUUUUCAGGCUUUGAUUCAGUUCACUGAUGCUGAGACCGCUUCUUCGGCUAGGAAUGCACUGGAUGGGAGAAGCAUACCCAGAUACUUGCUCCCAGAGCAUGUUGGUUCUUGCAACCUGCGUAUCUCGUACUCAGCACAUCGAGACCUUAAUAUCAAAUUCCAAUCCAAUCGCAGCAGGGACUACACUAAUCCUAUGCUUCCUGUUAAUCAGACUGCUAUUGAUGGUGCAUUACAGCCUGUAAUUGGUCCUGACGGAAAGAAGAAAGAACCCGAGAGUAAUGUUCUUUUGGCAACAAUUGAAAAUAUGCAGUAUGCUGUCACCGUAGAUGUUCUUCACACGGUGUUUUCUGCAUUUGGCACUGUUCAAAAAAUUGCUAUAUUUGAAAAGAAUGGACAAACUCAGGCUCUGGUUCAAUACCCUGAUGUUACAACAGGAGCAGCAGCCAGAGAAGCUUUAGAGGGACAUUGCAUAUAUGAUGGUGGCUAUUGUAAGCUUCAUCUAACAUACUCUCGUCAUACUGAUCUCAAUGUAAAGGUAUAAAAAAAUAUGUUUGAGUUAAAUAUUCAUGAGGGAAGAAUAUGAGAAAAGGGGUGGGAUUAAAGAUACUCUUAGAAGCAGUUUGGUUUCAGCAUUUUCUUGAUCAGAAAUAAUUCUAGAGUUAUUGUACAAAAUAUAAUUGUUUUGGUUUCAGGCUUUCAGUGACAAAAGCCGAGACUAUACAGUUCUAGAUCCUAGUCUCCAUGCGACACAAGUUUCCUUGUGGCAGAAUACUCAAACCACUCCUAUGUACCCUGGUUUACAGGGACAAAUGCCAUCAUGGGAUCCAAACCAGCAGGAAUUUACGCAAAGUUGUUUAUCGGCACCCGGUACUUUGCCUCCUGGUCAAGCCGUUCCUCCGUUUCCCGGCUAUCUGCCCCCUGCCACUGGCUCACCUCUUACUCAAAGCAACCAUAUAGAUCACAAUGCAAGUUCCAUGGGAAUCACUCAGCCUGGGGUUCCUGGUGCUUUGCCUCAUGCUCAUAUGCCUCCUGGUAUUCAACCUUAUUAUGGUUAGGAAGUUAUAUUUCAAUAUUUCAUCUGAAAUAACAUUCCUUGUCCCUCAGUUUCAAUUUCUAAUAUCUCACGUAUGACACCUUUUGUCCUAACUACCCACUAUUUUCGGGUAUUAUCUAAAUUUAUUACAGGGCUUUUUAUGUUGUACUUAUUAAUCUGUUUUAUUUUCUUUAUUUCUUCAUGUCAGCCACCCUUAUGUGGUGCAAAGGCAUGCAGUAGUAGCUAAAUAUUUCCAUUUUAUUUUGUUUGA
RNA transcript from Cicer arietinum (chickpea), 1924 nucleotides. It is a transcript of the gene named polypyrimidine tract-binding protein homolog 1-like, with no coding region annotated. The record is from RefSeq and is a predicted model, not a curated record. NCBI's taxonomy places the organism in Eukaryota, Viridiplantae, Streptophyta, Magnoliopsida, Fabales, Fabaceae.